AGCGUAGGCUGCGCGGUAAGUCAGAUGUGAAAUCCCGGGGCUCAACCCCGGAACUGCAUCCGAUACUGCCGUGCUUGAGGAUUGGAGAGGUAGCUGGAAUUCUUGGUUGUAGCAGUGAAAUGCGUGGAGAUCAAGAGGAACACUCGUGGCGAAAGCGAGCUACUGGACAAUAUCUGACGCUGAGGCUCGAAGGCCAGGGUAGCGAAAG
RNAcentral lists this ribosomal RNA (208 nucleotides) under uncultured bacterium. RNAcentral's name for it is "partial 16S ribosomal RNA". It matches the Rfam family "Bacterial small subunit ribosomal RNA", at positions 568 to 774 of the family's 1533-position model. The record is from RNAcentral.